Molecule: ribosomal RNA, 503 nt
Filed under: uncultured bacterium
Lineage: Bacteria
Description: partial 16S ribosomal RNA
Rfam family: Bacterial small subunit ribosomal RNA
Source: RNAcentral
ACUCAAAUGAAUUGACGGGGGCCCGCACAAGCGGUGGAGCAUGUGGUUCAAUUCGACGCAACGCGAAAAACCUUACCCGGGUUUGACAUCCAGAGGAAGAAUGCAGAAACGCAUUUGCCGGGGCAACUCGGCCUUUGAACAGGUGCUGCAUGGUUGUCGUCAGCUCGUGCCGUGAGGUGUUAGGUUAAGUCCUGCAACGAGCGCAACCCUCAUCCCUAGUUGCCAGCGGGUUAUGCCGGGCACUCUAAGGAAACUGCCGCUGAUAAGGCGGAGGAAGGUGGGGAUGACGUCAAAUCAGCAUGGCCCUUACAUCCGGGGCUACACACGUGCUACAAUGGAGGGUACAACGGGAAGCGAAGGAGCGAUCUGGAGCGAAUCCCCCAAAACCCUCCCCAGUUCAGAUCGUAGGCUGCAACCCGCCUACGUGAAGGCGGAAUCGCUAGUAACCGCAGAUCAGAACUGCUGCGGUGAAUACGUUCCCGGGCCUUGUACACACCGCCCGU